This is a non-coding RNA of Dermatophagoides farinae (American house dust mite), 3393 nucleotides long. NCBI's taxonomy places the organism in Eukaryota, Metazoa, Arthropoda, Arachnida, Sarcoptiformes, Pyroglyphidae. The record is from RefSeq and is a predicted model, not a curated record.
ACGAACAACAACAAAAACAGAAUCUUGUUUCAAUCGAAAAACAACAAUUAUUCGUGUCAACAACAACCACAGUCGUCACCACCCAUGCAGUCAAUGCGGCCAAAGGUCGAAGACGAUGCUAAAUGCCUUGGUGAUCAUACAAGUGGCCAAUAUAAUAGUUGUCACUACUAUUGUUGUUGUUGUUGUAACCUGUACUACUACCACCACCACCGCUGCAAGCGCCAACAAUAUAAUCAAUACAAAUAUUUAUUCACAAAAAUACGAUAUCGAUCCAAGAUUAAAACAAUCAAAUCAACGACAAGAACAAGAUUAUUAUCCAAACCAAUUUUAUCAUCACUAUCAUCGAGAAAAGCAACCAAAACAUCAACAGCAAUCACAAAAACGGCGAAUCGCAUUGCCUGAUAUAUCGUUGAAUUUAACGAAAAUUCAACAACAACAACAACAAAGAAGAAGAAAUCACCUCCAACAUCAUCAUCAACAACAUAUUGCAUCAGCAGCGGCGGCAGCCGCCGCCGCUGCUGCUGCGUCAAUCCAUUUAUUAACAAUCAAUUCAGCAUCACUUAUUGCUAAUCCGAAUCGUAUUGAUAAUGGUAAUGGUAAUGAUGAUCAAAUAUCCGUAGCGGAAACUUCAAAUACAGCCGUAGCAAAUUAUUGGCCAAAAUCUAAACCAUUGUAUAAUACAAAUAUUCAUAAAACAUUAAGAACAACAGCAACAACAACAAAUCUAAUCAAUAUUCCAGCGUUUUCAUCAAGUAAUUCGCAUAUUAUCUAUUCACGUUUAUCACCAUCAUCACAAUCAUCAUCAUCAUCACCGUUAUAUAAUACAGAAUAUAAUAAUCUUUGGCCUAGAAUUGAUCAUUCACCAAAUUAUUAUUAUCCAUUAUGGCUUCAUACUACAACAACAACUAAAAAAUUGAAUAAUAAUAAUCGAAAUCGUAAAUAUAAUCUGAAUUUCGAAUCACCAUCAUCAUCGUCCAACACUGAAUUGAUCUCAUCAUCGUCAUCAUUAUCAUCAUUCAUACCAAUAACAACAACAACAACAGCAAGAACGACCGAUAUCGUUGUCGGUUAUAAUCAUCAUCAUCAUGGCAAUGGUGUUGGUGUUUUAGAUGAUGAUGAUGAUGAUGAUGGUAUAGGAACUACAACUUCUUCGUUGUCAUCUACCUUCAUCAUUGAUGAUCAUCAUCAUUCACAUCAUCAAAAUCAGGAUUAUCAUGAUGAAUUUAUACUCGACCGGACAGCACCAGACACAUCAGCUGGUUUUUUUGCAAAAGCAUUGGAUAAUGUUGUACGAUUUUUACCGACAAUGCGUAUGAGAGAUCGACAAAAUCCUGGCUGUGUUGGUGGUACUAAAUGUCAAUUUUUUGUAUUCUGUUGGAUGUCCGGUGGUUCAUUGGGUGCAUCAUGUGGUCCAUUACAUACUUGUUGUGUAACGCCAAGUAGCCAGGAUAUACAGCCAAAAUAUUGGGGACCAGUUAUUAAUGAUCCACAAUGCGGAAAAUCGGCAACAAGAAUUAGCCGUAUUGUUGGCGGAUCGGAUGCAUCAUUUGGACAAUUUCCUUGGCAGGCAUUUGUACAAGUUGGCGGUAGUCGAUGUGGUGGUGCAUUAGUAGGACCAGCUCAUGUUGUCACAGCCGGACAUUGUGUUGCUAGGUCACAACAUAACCCUUCAAGUAUUAGGGUUACAUUAGGCGAUUAUAUUCUACAUUCGGAGAUUGAAAGCCUACCACAUGAAGUAUUUACUGUUAGUGAAGUUAAAUUACAUCCAAAUUUUCGUUUCACACCACAAGCUGAUCGUUAUGAUGUAGCCGUAUUAGUAUUGGAUCGUUCUGUACAAUAUCGUGAAAAUAUAAUGCCCAUUUGUUUACCACCAAAAGAUACAAUCUAUAUUGGCCGUAUGUCUUAUGUUGCUGGUUGGGGUGCCUUACAAGCAGGAUCAAAAUUAAGGCCAAAAGUAUUGCAACAUGUACCAGUUCCUGUAAUUGAGAAUAAUAUCUGUGAAAAUUGGCAUAAACAACGUGGUAUUAAUAUUAAAAUCUAUGAUGAAAUGAUGUGUGCCGGUUAUGAAACAGGUGGUAAAGAUGCUUGCCAGGGUGAUUCUGGUGGUCCAUUAAUGCUUAAUGAAUUUGGUGUUUGGUAUUUAAUUGGAAUCGUUUCGGCUGGAUAUUCGUGUGCCAAACAAUACCAACCGGGUAUCUAUCAUCGUGUUAGUAGUUCAUCCGAUUGGGUAUCGGCAAACGUAUUUCCAUCUGCACAUUUUCGUGUACCCAGUUGAAAAAAUAUUUGACCCAAAAACGUCCAUCCUUCUAUCGUUAUAAUGUUUGUAAAUAAUCUGAUGAUAAUGAUUAUAAUAUGAUAUUAUGUCUUGUGAAUGUGUGUAUGCCGAUAAUGUAUUUAUCCUUUUACAUCAACCCAGGUUUUAAACUACAUCCUAUUACACAAACAUACAUAUACACACAACAUGUGUAAAAAUUCAAAGAACUUUUUUUUUUUUUUUUUUUUUUUCUAUUUCAUUCACUCCCACACCAUCAACCACAUUUGAAUAUAUGCCACUCUGAUAAUCUCGUUACUUAAUCAAAUGAAAUCAAAUAGCUUAAUGUUUGACUUAUUUAUUUUUUUCAAAUAAUUAACCACAUCCAAUAAUGUUCAAUCGUUCAUUACCAACCAACUAUCGAUCGAUUGUUUUUUCUUUUUUAGGAAUUGAACAUCAUUCUGUUUUCUUUUUUUUUUUUUUUUGCUUAUUUCAAAUUAACAAUUUGGAUUCAUAUAUUGUGAUUUAUUAUACUUGGAUUAUCAAUUGAAAUUGGAAAUUAUCCUUGCAAACAUUUACAUCCCGAAAAUUUUUUUUGCCAGUUCCCAUUUCAGUAGGUUUUGCUUUCCAUCAUUCGAUAUAAAAAUCAUGCAAUUUGGAUACAAAUAUCGAUUGACCACCAGUUGAGUGAAAAAUUCAAUCAUUUUUAUCGAUUAUAAUAUCUGAUCGAUCACAAUCAUCAACAUCAUUAUCAUCAUCAUCAUCAUCAUCAAGUUUAUUACAUUGUUCAUCCGAAUCAUUAAACAAAGACAAAAAUAAUAACUGUAAGCCGAAUAAACAUCAUUUGAAACAUAAAAAUGAAAUUGAAGAUGACGAUGAUAUUGUUGAUCAGCCAUGGAUAGAUAUAAAAGAUUUACCAUCAAGAUUAAGAUUAAAAAUUUAUUCCAAUCAAAAUGACAAUCAAGAUUAUUCAACAACGAUACAACAAAGACAGCCACGGCCACAACAUUGGUAUCAACGAAUACGUUAUGAUCUUGGUGAAUGUCGUCGUUUUACAUUUAUACAAAUCAAUAUUAUCUGGUUUACAUCAUUGAUUAUAUUAUUACUACAUUUACGGAAUUGUAAUUCAUCAUCAUCGAAUA